This 440-nucleotide ribosomal RNA is filed under the name uncultured bacterium. Its description in RNAcentral is "partial 16S ribosomal RNA". It matches the Rfam family "Bacterial small subunit ribosomal RNA", at positions 338 to 795 of the family's 1533-position model. The record is from RNAcentral.
CCUACGGGAGGCAGCAGUAGGGAAUAUUGCUCAAUGGGGGAAACCCUGAAGCAGCAACGCCGCGUGGAGGAUGAAGGUUUUAGGAUUGUAAACUCCUUUUGUUAGAGAAGAUUAUGACGGUAUCUAACGAAUAAGCACCGGCUAACUCCGUGCCAGCAGCCGCGGUAAUACGGAGGGUGCAAGCGUUACUCGGAAUCACUGGGCGUAAAGAGUGCGUAGGCGGGGUAAUAAGUCAGAUGUGAAAUCCUGUAGCUUAACUACAGAACUGCAUUUGAAACUGGUACUCUGGAGUGUGGGAGAGGUAGGUAGAAUUCUUGGUGUAGGGGUAAAAUGCGUAGAGAUCAAGAGGAAUACUCAUUGCGAAGGCGACCUGCUGGAACAUUACUGACGCUGAUGCACGAAAGCGUGGGGAGCAAACAGGAUUAGAUACCCUUGUAGUC